GGAAGAACAAUACAAUGCAGAAACUGCAGAAACGGCUUUUUUGUGUGGUAACACUAUGGAUACAUCCCUCAUAAGUUUCCUGUGAUAAGCACUAUGCCCUAAUAAGGUUGUGCAGUCUAUUGGGCCUCUUUCCUGGCUUUGGGUCUGCUGCGGGAUUGCGAAGCGGCCUGGCCAAAACAAAUGGGGGGGUAGGCUGUAUUAACAGGCAGAGGUUUAAGGAUUGGGUUGUCUGGGCCAUUCACAGUCCUGAUUGGUCAAGAGUCAUAGAAUAUCAGGGUUGGAAGGGACCUCAGGAGGUCAUCUAGUCCAACCUCCUGCUGAAAGCAGGACCAAUCCCCAGACAGAUUUUUGCCCCAGAUGCCUAAAUGGCCCACUCAAAGAUUUAACUCUCAACCCUGGACUUAGCAGGCCAAUGCUCAAAUCACUGAGCUAUCCCUUCCCCCAAGUGCAAGGGGUGGGGCUUAGGCAGGAAGUUCCACCCAACACUGCUUCCUCAUUGGAAUAGGGUGGAGGUUGGGACAGGCAGUGGAGCAGGGCUUGUACUUCAUUCUUCACAUGGAUUGGUCAGGAAGAGGGGCUGGUGGGCGGGGCUGCCUGUCAGAACAGCUGUGAUGAGCCUCCUUCACACUGUGAUCCCCCUUCUCUGUGUUUCUCUCUCCUGCAGCUUGUGGAAGUGUAAUCUCACAGACGCUGUCUGUGGGGAUCUUGCCGCUGUUCUCAGAACCAACCAGAGCCUGACAAAGCUGGUCCUGAAUCAGAAUAAAUUGGGAGAUGCCAGAGUGCGGCUGCUGUGUGAGGGACUGACACACCCGAACUGCAAAGUGCAGACACUGGAAACCAAGCCCAGGACUGGAGAUGACUCCCAGCCGGUAGAAGCAGACAGAGCAGACAGAGAAGCAGCCUCAGCAGGGCCGAUGGACACUGAUGUCAUCAGACUGCCUGCUACAAAUUGUCACUCUCGACAUGCUCUUCCUUGUGCUGAUUGGCUGUUUGUUGCAACCCUGUCCUUUCCCCUCCCCUCACAGUUGGUGCGUCUCAGCCUCUUUCCAU
Molecule: long non-coding RNA, 1050 nt
Filed under: Chrysemys picta bellii (western painted turtle)
Lineage: Eukaryota; Metazoa; Chordata; Testudines; Emydidae
Description: lncRNA (ENSCPBG00000004142.1)
Source: RNAcentral